GGACCGCACGCGUACGGUCUGACUAAUAUCAAGGAGUUGAUCAAUUGUACUAGAUACAAAUACAUGUAACAGAUCAACAUAACUUAACUCUCAAAUAAAUAGAAAAAAAAUCAAUUGUAAUUGAAAUAAAAACUUUACAUUUUAACUAUUUAAAAAAUUCACGCCUAAUUAAAUUGUAAAUCUCUAGUAUUUAGCAUGUAGAUCAGUAAUACAUAAUACACUAAUUGAAUUAUGACAAUUAUUCUCGCUGAAAUUGAAUGCAAAUAAUGUGGGAGG
RNAcentral lists this long non-coding RNA (276 nucleotides) under Mytilus galloprovincialis (Mediterranean mussel). Lineage: Eukaryota; Metazoa; Mollusca; Bivalvia; Mytilida; Mytilidae. The record is from RNAcentral.